AUGCUUUCAAGGUCUGAUCCAUUAUUCUUAAUUGUUCUUCCAGCUGUCGAACUUGGCUGUUAGUGGACACAGGAAAUGCACAAGGCCAUUCUCAAAAUCAGUGUGCAGAGGUCGUCUUCAUGGGGACACAACCAGGAGCUGAUUCACCCUGAACCUGUCUUGAUAAUGGGAUUCCACCACCUCGAGGAGAGAGGAGGACAGACUGAAAACAGCCUCUGUGGAUCUCCCGAGUGAGGGCAUGGUCCGCGUCUCUGCGCUGCCUGAAGCGGACGGUGCUCGGUGACUCACGUCCGGAAGAAGCGCCUGCACGCUGACAGCAAGAGGCUCCUUCCACAAGACUCAAAAGGCCCAACUCUCCCUUCUCCUGGCCAAAGAGCUUUUGCUCCAGUCUUUGCGGGGGAGGGCAGGGAAGCUUCGGUAUCUCCUAGUGCUACUACUGGCUUCAUGAUAAAGCCUCGGAUCCGCUAGCAGGAUCAAAAUAAGAACCAUUUUCUGGAGACAAAGGAACUCUGCUUCUCAAAACCAGGCGUUUCUGCCAAGGAAGCAGAUCAUUUCACUGGAGAAUUCAGGGCUGCACACUCUCCCUGGCCCCCCCCCCCAGGGCUACUGCUGGGGAGUCCACGAGGCUUCGGGCCCCAGGAUCUGACCUCUUCAUACUUGCGGUCGGCAUCUUCAGCAAUGUGCUUGGCCUCUUUCAGUUGGAUCUCCUGAAUUUCCAUUUUCUCUUCAUCCUUUUGGGCUCGGCUCU
Equus caballus (horse) is the source of this 748-nucleotide long non-coding RNA. RefSeq lists it as uncharacterized. NCBI's taxonomy places the organism in Eukaryota, Metazoa, Chordata, Mammalia, Perissodactyla, Equidae. The record is from RefSeq and is a predicted model, not a curated record.